UUCAUCAAAUCCUUUGAAACACAGAUUAAUUACUCACUUGUUUGUCUAUGUUGUUGUAGUGUUUAUUGUUUACAAAAGUUCCUUAACAUCCUUUUCGAUCCAAAAAAAGCCUGUAUAGAAUCAAUAAAGUCAAGCACACCUUGGAAGAGGUACUAGAAAAGGUCCAUAUUUGUACUUUAAUAUUUAAAGACUUGGUUUUGGGAAAUCAUUGCUUCUAUCACAUUCGGUUAUCCUUAACCAGGCCCGUAGCCAGGAAUUUCCAAAGGGGGGUUGUUUGGCCUCAAAAACUCGACUUUAACAGUCACAAUUCGAACAGAACGUUGACUUUAACAGUCAUUAUUUGUUUUCAGGGGGGGGGGGUUCGUCUGAAAAGGUUAAGCAUACCCGUAGGACGAACCCCCCUGGCUAUGGGUAUGCUUAACCUUUUGUCAGGUAAAGAACGAUCAGAUAUAACAGUAUAAGGUGAAAGGCUUUGGGUUUUCUGUCAGAUUUCGAUAUGUUUAACAUUAAAUCAAAAGGUACCAUAAUCCUUAAAGAAUUGAAUGAUGAAGUUUUUUUGGGUUUUUUUUUUUGCAAUUUUAGGGACAAAACAAUUAUUUAUCCCUCAGUGAACUUCCUUACUUCUUUUUUAGCUCACCUGGCCCAAAGGGCCAAGUGAGCUUUUCUCAUCACUUGGCGUCCGUCGUCGUGGUCAUCGUGGGGUAUCUUGUUUAAAAAAUGUGUCCGGUGACCCCGCUUACCAACCAAGAUGACCGCCAUGACUAAAAAUAGAACAUAGGGG
This 781-nucleotide long non-coding RNA is filed under the name Mytilus galloprovincialis (Mediterranean mussel). The record is from RNAcentral. Lineage: Eukaryota; Metazoa; Mollusca; Bivalvia; Mytilida; Mytilidae.